RNAcentral lists this ribosomal RNA (253 nucleotides) under uncultured bacterium. RNAcentral's name for it is "partial 16S ribosomal RNA". It matches the Rfam family "Bacterial small subunit ribosomal RNA", at positions 524 to 776 of the family's 1533-position model. The record is from RNAcentral.
GACGUAGGGCGCGAGCGUUGUCCGGAUUUAUUGGGCGUAAAGAGCUCGUAGGCGGUUUGUCGCGUCUGCCGUGAAAGUCCGGGGCUCAACUCCGGAUCUGCGGUGGGUACGGGCAGACUAGAGUGAUGUAGGGGAGACUGGAAUUCCUGGUGUAGCGGUGAAAUGCGUAGAUAUCGGGAGGAACAUCAGUGGCGAAGGCGGCCUUCUGGUCCAGUACUGACACUCAAGUGCGAAAGCGUGGGGAGCAAACAGG